GCAGCAGCCGCGGGAAUACGUAGGGUGCAAGCGUUAUCCGGAAUUAUUGGGCGUAAAGAGCUCGUAGGCGGUUUGUCGCGUCUGCUGUGAAAACUGGAGGCUCAACCUCCAGCCUGCAGUGGGUACGGGCAGACUAGAGUGCGGUAGGGGAGAUUGGAAUUCCUGGUGUAGCGGUGGAAUGCGCAGAUAUCAGGAGGAACACCGAUGGCGAAGGCAGAUCUCUGGGCCGUAACUGACGCUGAGGAGCGAAAGCGUGGGGAGCGAACAGGAUUAGAGACCCCCGUAGUCCCUGUCUCUUAUAC
This 302-nucleotide ribosomal RNA is filed under the name uncultured bacterium. Its description in RNAcentral is "partial 16S ribosomal RNA". It matches the Rfam family "Bacterial small subunit ribosomal RNA", at positions 508 to 807 of the family's 1533-position model. The record is from RNAcentral.